This 436-nucleotide ribosomal RNA is filed under the name uncultured bacterium. Its description in RNAcentral is "bacterial SSU rRNA". It matches the Rfam family "Bacterial small subunit ribosomal RNA", at positions 958 to 1398 of the family's 1533-position model. The record is from RNAcentral.
AACGCGAAGAACCUUACCGGGGCUUGACAUCGGAGGACAACUGUAGAAAUACAGCUUAGGGGCAACCCUACCUCCAGACAGGUGCUGCAUGGCUGUCGUCAGCUCGUGCCGUGAGGUGUUGGGUUAAGUCCCGCAACGAGCGCAACCCUUGUCGUGUGUUGGUCCACAAGAUCUCUCACACGAGACCGCCGGUGAGAAGCCGGAGGAAGGUGGGGAUGACGUCAAGUCCGCAUGGCCCUUACGUCCCGGGCUACACACGUGCUACAAUGCGCCGAACAACGAGCUGCUAACUCGCGAGGGUAAGCCAAUCUCUUAAAUCGGCGCUCAGUUCGGAUUGAAGGCUGCAACUCGCCUUCAUGAAGUCGGAAUCGCUAGUAAACGCAGAUCAGCUACGCUGCGUUGAAUACGUUCCCGGGCCUUGUACACACCGUAGUAC